GCCGCGUGCAGGAAGACACCCCUACGGGGCGUAAACUGCUUUUACAAGGGAAGAAGGCACUCCUCUGGAGUGUUUGACGGUACCUUGCGAAUAAGCACCGGCUAACUCCGUGCCAGCAGCCGCGGUAAUACGGAGGGUGCAAGCGUUGUCCGGAAUCACUGGGUGUAAAGGGUGUGUAGGCGGGGCGAUAAGUCAGAGGUGAAAUCCCACGGCCCAACCGUGGAACUGCCUUUGAUACUGUCGUUCUUGAGUCCCGGAGAGGCUAUCGGAAUUCGUGGUGUAGCGGUGAAAUGCGUAGAUAUCACGAGGAACACCAGAGGCGUAGGCGGAUAGCUGGACGGGUACUGACGCUGAGGCACGAAAGCGUGGGGAGCAAACAGGAUUAGAUACCCUGGUAGUCCACGCUGUAAACGAUGGAUGCUCGGUGUUGGCCUUCUUUGUAGGGUCAGCGCCUAAGCUAACGCGUUAAGCAUCCCACCUGGGG
Molecule: ribosomal RNA, 484 nt
Filed under: uncultured bacterium
Lineage: Bacteria
Description: bacterial SSU rRNA
Rfam family: Bacterial small subunit ribosomal RNA
Source: RNAcentral